This 782-nucleotide transfer RNA is filed under the name Bradyrhizobium sp. 05LoS20R3_36. Its description in RNAcentral is "16S-23S ribosomal RNA intergenic spacer". The stretch from base 189 to 262 matches the Rfam family "tRNA". RNAcentral also lists the same sequence under 1 other name. Lineage: Bacteria; Pseudomonadati; Pseudomonadota; Alphaproteobacteria; Hyphomicrobiales; Nitrobacteraceae. The record is from RNAcentral.
CUAAGGAUGGUUCUUCAGAAGCUUGCUUCUAUCGAACCGUUUUAGAAACAUCAGUGGCCAACGAUCGUCAGGAUUGUUGAGCUGCAUUGGCGGGAUUUCGCCGUCUUCGUUUCUCUUUCUUCGCGGACGAACACGCGCUGGGGCUGCAAGCUUGCAGAAUCCCUGGUCCUUGACUGGAUAUGCGUUAGGGGCUUGUAGCUCAGUUGGUUAGAGCGCGCGCUUGAUAAGCGUGAGGUCGGAAGUUCAAGUCUUCCCAGGCCCACCACACUCAUCGAGUGAGCAUUCGUCUUCUGGUUACGGGGCCAUAGCUCAGCUGGGAGAGCGCGUGCUUUGCAAGCAUGAGGUCGUCGGUUCGAUCCCGUCUGGCUCCACCAGAUGGUUUGAUCAUCGACUGAUCGCAUCUAAUCGUCCGCGAAACAUCACUUCGCACUUACUAGUCCGGAUGGACAGUGAGCUGCGUGAUUUCUGACAUCGUAAAGAGGAGAUCGAUCCGAGUUGGAUCGGGCAACAAGCAAUUGUUGCGCGAUACUUCAUUAUCUCCGGAUCAUUUCGGCGCUCGUGCGUCUUUCAAUGUAGCUCACAAGGCUGCGUUUGAGAGACAUGCGAGUUGUAAAUGAUCCUUUUAGCGAAGCUUGACCGCCUCGCUAUCGGAACGAUCUUACGAAGCAAGCUGGUCUUUCUAAUCAUUGUCCGGCUGUGAAUAGCGUUCAUCGAGGACGCGCGCCGCAAGGCAGUUCUACAGACAACAUUCUGCCGAGUGUGUGGACAUUGAUAAUGAGAGC